AGUGAACGCUGGCGGUAGGCCUAACACAUGCAAGUCGAACGGCAGCACAGUAAGAGCUUGCUCUUACGGGUGGCGAGUGGCGGACGGGUGAGGAAUACAUCGGAAUCUACUUUUUCGUGGGGGAUAACGUAGGGAAACUUACGCUAAUACCGCAUACGACCUACGGGUGAAAGCAGGGGAUCUUCGGACCUUGCGCGAUUGAAUGAGCCGAUGUCGGAUUCGCUAGUUGGCGGGGUAAAGGCCCACCAAGGCGACGAUCCGUAGCUGGUCUGAGAGGAAGAUCAGCCAGAUGGGAACAGAGAAACGUCCCAGACACCUACAGGAGGCAGCAGUGGGGAAUAUUGGACAAUGGGGGAAAGCCUGAUCCAGCCAUACCGGGUGGGUGAAGAAGGCCUUCGGGCUGUAAAGCCCUUUUGUUGGGAAAGAAAAGCAGCAGGUUAAUACCCCGCUGUUCUGACGGUACCCAAAGAAUAAGCACCGGCUAACUUCGUG
RNAcentral lists this ribosomal RNA (492 nucleotides) under uncultured bacterium. Its description in RNAcentral is "partial 16S ribosomal RNA". It matches the Rfam family "Bacterial small subunit ribosomal RNA", at positions 29 to 507 of the family's 1533-position model. The record is from RNAcentral.